Molecule: small RNA, 425 nt
Filed under: Pongo abelii (Sumatran orangutan)
Lineage: Eukaryota; Metazoa; Chordata; Mammalia; Primates; Hominidae
Description: processed transcript
Source: RNAcentral
GCGCAGGGUCUGCUAUGGCGGCGGCAGCCGAGGGCGUCCUGGCGACCCGGCGUGAUGAGCCCGCCCGAGAUGGAGAAUGGAGCCGACUUGAUGGAAUGAAGGCAAGUGGAGGGAUGUCGGAACAGGCUGCUUUGGCUGGAUUAGCACCGGGUGUAGGCGGGACACUUAGUCAUUCUCCCUUGGCCCAGACGAUGCCGCCGUGGAGACAGCUGAGGAAGCAAAGGAGCCUGCUGAAGCUGACAUCACUGAGCUCUGCCGGGACAUGUUCUCCAAAAUGGCCACUUACCUGACUGGGGAACUGACGGCCACCAGUGAAGACUAUAAGCUCCUGGAAAAUAUGAAUAAACUCACCAGCUUGAAGUAUCUUGAAAUGAAAGAUAUUGCUAUAAACAUUAGUAGGAACUUAAAGGACUUAAACCAGAAAU